Cygnus olor (mute swan) is the source of this 1071-nucleotide long non-coding RNA. RefSeq lists it as uncharacterized. The transcript has 5 exons. The record is from RefSeq and is a predicted model, not a curated record. NCBI's taxonomy places the organism in Eukaryota, Metazoa, Chordata, Aves, Anseriformes, Anatidae.
AGAUCUGGAGAACAAACAUCUACAAAACAUGGAUAGGGCAAAACCCUGCUCGUGCUAAGAGCUGUUAAAUGAAUGCAAUGUUAGACCGGAAGAAAACUUAGCAGAAAGUCUAUAUCUGGUGAAUGUCUGGACCUAAUUCCAAGACGACACACAGAGGAACAGACAGGUGUUUUUACACAAUGGAUGAAGUGUAAUGAAUAAGAUCAUGGCUAGCUUUAUGACCCAUUCUGACAAUGAUCAGAUCUUCUCAUACUCCAGAACCUGUGUUUUCCCCCCUGUAGUCUGAUUGUCUUAUGUAAUUACAACAUCUCUGGAUGGAGAAGAGAUGGCCAACAAUAGGUAGAAGACCGUCCAGGUACACAUUUGGGGAUCAUCUAGUCCAGCCUCCUUGAAGUGGAAAUAGUGCCAACACUGAAGCAUUGUUUUGUCCACACCUAGUUUUGAAAAUGUCCAAGAAUGGAGAUUUCACAGUCUGUCUGGACAACCUAUUGCAGUGUGGCAGUGGUUUUCUAAGAGAAGUUUUUCUUUUUUGUUUUGUUUUGUUUUGUUUUUCUGAAUGCCCAGCCUGAAGCUUGCAAGCUGCAGUUUGGCUGUCGCCCCUUGUUACACUGUCUGAUGCUACUUAGCACCAUUUGGCUCCCUCAGUCUUGUAACCACCCUUUAAGUAAUAACAGAUUUCUGUGAGUUGCCUCUCAGCUUUCCCUUUGCUAGGCUAAUCAAGCCCAAUAUCACUAACCUCUCCUUGUUGAUCAUAUUGUCUGUGCCCCACUGCUGUGGUUGCUGCCUGCUCAAUCCUCCCCAGUUUCUUCAGUUCUACUGUGAGCUCUGAGGACCAAAAGUGUGCACGGUAGCCCAGCUGGGGCCUCACCACUGCUGUGUCUACAGAUAAAGAGAGAAAGAGAAUAUAUCUGUGCCCAUGUGUUGUUGUGUUGUUAUAGGACAAAAGACAAGAUCAAAAAAGCACCUUCCCUUUAGAAAGAAGGUGGUGAAUUUUAGACUUGCUUUGUAGCUCUAAUGUAAACUAAUUCUAAAGUAUAAGGCUGUCUCUGAUAGCAUUUGUCCUGUUCUUAA